CAGUAGCCGCGGGAAUACGAAGGGGGCUAGCGUUGCUCGGAAUGACUGGGCGUAAAGGGCGCGUAGGCGGAUGGCACAGUCAGAUGUGAAAUUCCUGGGCUUAACCUGGGGGCUGCAUUUGAUACGUGUUGUCUAGAGUGUGAAAGAGGGUCGUGGAAUUCCCAGUGUAGAGGUGAAAUUCGUAGACAUUGGGAAGAACACCGGUGGCGAAGGCGGCGACCUGGUUCAUGACUGACGCUGAGGCGCGAAAGCGUGGGGAGCAAACAGGAUUAGAUACCCGCGUAGUCCCUGUCUCUUAUAC
This 301-nucleotide ribosomal RNA is filed under the name uncultured bacterium. Its description in RNAcentral is "partial 16S ribosomal RNA". It matches the Rfam family "Bacterial small subunit ribosomal RNA", at positions 509 to 807 of the family's 1533-position model. The record is from RNAcentral.